Rattus norvegicus (Norway rat) is the source of this 8680-nucleotide long non-coding RNA. RefSeq lists it as uncharacterized. NCBI's taxonomy places the organism in Eukaryota, Metazoa, Chordata, Mammalia, Rodentia, Muridae. The record is from RefSeq and is a predicted model, not a curated record.
CCCGCGGGCCGCCGCCUCCCCCGCCACCGUUCCCGGCGCAGUGGAGCCCAGACCCCCCGCCGCCGCCUCCAUUCCGGUGCGGGGCUGAGGGGUGAAUCCCUUCCCCGUCCUCGUCCGCCAUCUUGCGACACAAGAGAAUUCUUUGAAAACAUGCGAUUGGUGUUUUUGGCUACCUACCAGGAUAUAAACUUGACGGUGCUGGGUGCCUGAUGACAGCAAGUGAAGAUGUAGAACUCUCAGCUCCUCCAGCACCAUGCCUUCCUGGACACUGCCAUGCUCCCACCUUGAUGAUAAUGGACUAAACCUCUGAACCUGUAAGCCAGCCCCAAUUAAAUAUUGUCCUUUAUAAAACUUGCAUUGGUCAUGGUGUCCGUUCACAGCAAUAAGACCCUAAGACAUUAUUCAUAUAUAUAAAUACAUAUACUCAUAUACAUAAAUAAAUAUAAAUAAGUAUACACUGAAUGAGGCUAAUAGGGUCAGCCAGUUGGUGGACCACUUGCCUAACAUGCAGGAAUCCCUGCUUAAUCCCUAGUAGCAAAUACAUAAGAUGUGGUGACACACUCCUAACACUCAGAACAUAGAGGCCCUAGGAAAAAUCAGAAGUUCAAGGUCAUCAUCCUCAGCUAUAUAUCAACUUCAAGGGGAGCCCAGGCUAUAAGAGACUCUUUUUCAAUAUAUAUUUUUCCAGUACACACACACACAUAAAUAUAUAUAUACACAUGUGCAUACACAUAGAUGAAUGCACACUCUAUUCUAAGCUUUCCAACAAUGGUGAGGGAUAAAUGCAGAGAUCGAUGAGGUAGUCAAACUGCACCUGUCCUCCUUGUGGCACCUCCGCUCCUCAGGGUCCAUUUCCACUCACACACCUAGGAAAUAACUCUUUUGUGACUGUAAGUCAUUGUGGUAUUGUUCAUAUUCACAGUAGUUUGGACUAAUAACAGUCGUUGGGUAAAAUACGAUACAUUCACAGUGGAAAACCGAAUCACUUUUUAAAAAACAGCUAAAAAGCUCUUUGUGGUGUGACACGGAAUGAGCUCACAGAGACCAUGCGCAGUGAAGCAAGAAUAGGACAGAACACACACGUAAUGUCAUCAGUGUACAAAUGAGGGAAGCAGGGGCUGGGGAUUUAGCUCAGUGGUAGAGCACUUACCUAGGAAGCACAAGGCCCUGGGUUGUCCCCAGCUCCGGAAAAAAAAAAAAAAAAAAAAAAAAAAAACAAAUGAGGGAAGCAUAUGACUCUGUGUCUUUAGAAAUACACGAAACUGGGCUGGAGAGAUGGCUCAGUGGUUAAGAACACCCGACUGUUCUUCCAGAGGUCAUGAGUUCAAUUCCCAGCAACCACAUGGUGGCUCACAACCAUCUGUAAAGAGAUCCGAUGCCCUCUUCUGGUGUAUCUGAAGACAGCUACAGUGUACUUAUAUAUAAUAAAUAAAAUAAAUCUUUAAAAAAAAAAAAAAAAGAAAUACACGAAACUGAUAGCAUAGAUUGCUGUAACGAAGGGAGUCUGGACAGCUGCGCUGGGGACAGGAGUAGGAGAGAGGCCUUUCUCAUUAUUUCUUUUCUUUAACUCUUCCUUCCAAACUUUCAGUCGAAUGAAACCCAAUAAGGCUCAAUGGUCCGAUGUUUGCCUAGAAUGCAAGAAGUCCUAGGUUUCAGCUCUCACACCACCUAGGAUGCCAGCGCUGGGCAGGUAGACGUAGGGGGAUCUGAGGUUCAAGGUAGUCUAGGCUGCUAAGCAAGUUCAAGGCCAGUCUGGCUUAGGGACCCUGACUUAUAAAAGAAACCUAAUUAAUUAGCUAAUUAAAUGAGCCAGCAGUGGGGACUUACACCUGUAAUCCUAGCACUUGGAAGGGUGAGGCAGGAGGAUCAUCACAAGUCCAGAGUGAGGUCUUCCCUCAAAAAGACAAUUUUAGAAAAGAUUAAACUGAAAGACAGGGUCAGUAUAUCAUAAGAAUUAGAAAAUAAGGGCCCAGGGGAUGGAUCCAUGGGUAAAGGUGCCCACAGUCAGGCCAGCCAGGGCCACAGAGGUGGCUCUGAGGGUAAAAGUGUCAGCCAGUUCUCUCCUGGGACCUCAGUUCUCUCACUGGGACACCAAGGGAACCAACACCAUAAGAUGUCCCCUGACUGAGACACACACAGGAGUAAAUCUAAUCUAAAAAUAUGGCUAGCCACGAAGUGGUGGCACAUGAUUUUAAUCCCAGCACUUGGGCGACAGAGGCAGGCAGAUCUCUAAGUUUGAGGCCAGCCUGAUUUACAGAGUGAGUUCCAGGACAGCCAGGGCUACACAGAGAAACUUUGCCUCAAAACAAAUAAAACAAAACAAAACAAAACAAAAAAAAUACGUGCAUGUGCAUGUGUGUGUGAGAGAGAGAGAGAGAGAGAGUGUGUGUGUGUGUAUGUGAGUGUAUGUGUGAGUGUGUAUGUGAAAAUAAGUUGCUAAGCCCAUGCAGUGGUUCAUACAGAUAAUCCUAACACUGGAGAACUAGAUACAGGAGUUCAAGGCCAGCCUCACUGAGUUACAUACUGAGAUCAGGGCCAGCCUGGGCUACAUGAAAUGUCCUAAAAGCUUAUAGUCUAGCAGUCAGGAUAGCAAAAGACAAAACAAUACUAAACAUUAAAUCUCAAUGAGAGAUGUGACAGACGCCUUCAAGCAUCUGGAAGUGAGGACAUAGGGAGAUGUGCUUCACAUCAGAGAACGAUGGCGGGGGAUGUUGAGGUCUGAAAGAAUAUCAGUGUAGUGUCGGGAGCGCUGCUCAGUAGGACUGCUGCAGAGGGAACAUGGCUGGAAGACAGGAGAGUUAGAACUUGGGAGGCUCCAGUUACUGGGCAUUCUUUGUGCCCCGGAACUGGAAUUUCAUUCCUAAGAAUUUAGGGGUCUUUGAACGGAUUAACCGCAUUAUCAAACUUGCACUUCAGAAAAGUUCAUGCUGCAGGAUGUGUGGAGAAUGAAUGGAGAUAGAUAAUUAAGAAGCAGUUGCAGUGAUUCGGAAGAAUUAAUGGGACUCAAACUAGGGCCAUAGCAGAGGGGAUACAAGGUGUGGGAGAGGAGAGUCUUGGAGCCUGGGAGGAUCUCAGGUGCUGUGGCACAGGGAGGAAGUGAUGGUACACAGUCCCCCAAGCACAAGAAGGACGAGGAAACACAGAGUCCGCUUGGAGCCUUGUGGACUUGAGGAAAGGCCCACGAUGAUUUGUCAAGUCACGGUUGGACACUAGAGUCUGGGCCACUGCAUAGGUCUGGGAGCCUUUGGGUAGUGACAAAUGACAGAGUAAGGUAGACAACACCUUACUCUAAGCUAAGCUGAGUGCUGAAAACAGAACCCAGGAAAUGCUCCCCCUCGAUACUAUGUAGAAGAGCAAAGAGAUUGGUGUAGACUAAGAGGAUUCAGAGAGCUGGGGGCUCACGCACGGAGGAGUCUUGGAAGUCAGUGAAGCUGUCUUCAGCAUCGGACUUGGCCAUUCAUUGUUUGCAGAGCACGUCCCACCUCAGAGCCCAGUUUAUCCUCACAAAGGCUCAGAUAACAGCAAGUCUGCUAAUUAACCCAAGAACUGAACCUUGAACCCGAGUGCUCUGACCAAAGCCAGGCUACUCUUUUUCUCUGUCCACCUUCUUGUCUGAAUAAGUUCUUCCUACAUCCUGUGACCUGCAGGGGCAGUGGAUUCUGUCACCCUUUUCAAGCAGGGAUACUUAAGUGGAAAACCUACACCUGGACAUCCGCUCACACAGCCUUUGGGUCAUAGAUGUUUUACCUUUUUGCUACUCUAAAUUCUCCUCGCCCAAGCCCUAGCUAUAGUCUCUCUCCAGCAUCCCAGAAGACUGUCGCUCUCUCUCACAUUUCCCUUUUCUAAAUCCCUGAGGCAAAUACAGUUCCGGGUGACCCCUUAAUGAGUCACGCUCUUGCGUAACCCUCUCCCUUGAAGGUAAGUCGAACCUGUGACUUGCUUCUGGGCAAAAAAAUAUGCCAAAGCUGACAGCUGUGUCACACCCAUGAUUCUGCUGUGUCAAGUAAUGAUGCUUCUUAGUACGACUGGUCCUGCUGGCUUUGUGGAAGGUUCAGAACUAUCUAGGAGGGCAGCCACAGGGGACUUCAGGGCCUGAGUGGCUCUUGGGGACAGGAAGAAAAUAGGUUCCACCAUCUUUUAUCCUCAUGAAAUUCUGCCAACAACAACAUGACACGUGGAAGAGGAUCCAAGCUCCACAAAGAAACAGUCCAGCAGUACCUCCAUUGUAGCCAUGUGAGAUCUGAGUAGAGAACCCAAACAAGCUGGUCCUGGAGAGACUCUUGACACUAAGCCCUCCAAUAUGAGGAAUAGCUGUUUUAAGCUGCUGGGUCUGAGGCAAUAAAAACAGCAAAAAUAAAUCAAUAUAACCCCUUACUUUAUUUACGGUCAACACAGCUCAGUUUAGAACAUGACAGCAAGUAUCUAGCUGGGCUUUAGCUGUCCAAGCUGAAUGCAAGCUUCUGGAAACCGGCAUACUAGUCACAUGGGGUUAAGAUACAUUUCUUCUUGCAGAAGAGCCAGCAUCCACGGAAUGUCCCACACGCAUCCAUAACUCCAGUUCCACAGUGUCACAUUCCCUCUUCUGACUUGAGGGCACCAGACACACAAGUAUGCACAGACACACCUGUAUGCAAAGCACUCGCACACAAAGGAAAGCAAAUUCCCAAGCAGUCACCUUCCUAGUGGCCUCCCCUGUCUCACCUGCCAAUGUGCUAAACCAACCAUCGACAACAAUAAACACAACUACCAUGGCUAGCUUAAACUCGUCAGGACUGUCUCCUGGGACUACGAGUAGGGCUAUCCCUGAAUUUAUAGCUUCCAUUGAAUACCAGACUCAAAUGAGAGUUCUGCAAAUACAAAAGGUGGGAGCAAGAAGCGAUAUAGAUGGGUGGGUUUCGAGAAGCUUCCACACAAUGCCACUUCAUCUCCAUGUAGAUACUUUUUUUAAAAAAAGAAUGCAGGGGCUGGGGAUUUAGCUCAGUGGUAGAGCGCUUACCUAAGAAUGCAGGGUACUCUUAAUUUUAUUUAUUUAUUUUUAUUGGUUCCUUUCUUUUCUUUCUCUUCCUUCCUUCCUUUCUUCCUUCCUUCCUUCCUUCCUUCCUUCCUUCCUUCCUUCCUUCCUUCCUUCCUUCCUUUCUUUCUUUCUUUCUUUCUCUUUUUUUUUUUUAAGCCCUGGCAGUCCCGGAACUUACUCUAUAGACGAGGCUGACCUCAAACCCAGAGAUCUGCCUGCCUCUGCCUGCUGAGUGUUGGGGUUAAAGUCAUUCAUUAAGUGGAAAUUUCUGGUUUCUUCGGCAACUCAGUUGUGUCAUGUGAUGUUUUUCGAAACUGUCUUAUGAGAGGAUGUUUUGCUGAGGCAGACACGUGGGAGGAUGUUUUGCGGAGAACAGACACAUGGUGUUUUUUUCUAGGAACUGCCUGGGAAAAGGUCAUGUGAUGUUUUGCUGGGGCUGACGAUUAGGAGAACAUGUGAUGUUUGGAAAGUUAUAAGUAUAACCCAACAGACAGUGGGUGAGGCCAUGGCAUUGACUCACCUCGGUGCUCUCUGCUGGUCUUUUUUGGGCUUUGCUGACUGACGAGGUAGCAUUGGUUUGCUUUGCCUUCUUUAAUGACCAUCAUUUGUUGUAACUUCACAGAGAGAAAUGUAGCAGAGACCUUCUGGUGGUGAUCUAGAGGGUUCUUGCUGCUUCUGUGAACUCGGGCCGAUUGGCAGAACCUCGUGGUUUCUUCUGGAUCAAACUGUCAUUGUGUGUUCAUGAAUGGUGUUUGCGAGUGAGUUGAGCUACCACUGCUGAUCGUGCGAACUGAACUGCUGAUAUCCUGACAAUGAAGAUUGGAAUCGCCCCCAAAGAAUUAUUUUUAAACAGGUUCGCAUCCUCCUUUGACCUAUUUAACCUUUCCUUUCUACUACCUCUGGUGGGUGGUGGGCUAGAAGGGAAGUUGAUGCAUUUAAGAACCCUUAUUAAAGUAAGUUUUGAAAAAUCUAAGCCUGUGCAUGUACCACACUGCCCAACUGUAGGGUACCCUUAUGAAAAAUAGUUUAAUUUUUUAAAAAAUGAAAUGCAUGCUCUAACAGGGUAAACCUUAAAGAUGACGCAGAAUGAAAUUAGCCAGUUAUAAAACACAAUCCAAGUUACAGUAUACAAAUCCAAGUUAUAGUAUUAUGUGAUUAUUUUUGUAUGUGGCGUGGACAGAAAGUGGAAUGGCAGUCACAAGCACUUGAGGAGAGAGGAACAGGAAGGAAUCUUAAGAGGUACAGAGUUUGGAGUGGGAAAGGUGAAAGAACUCCAGAGAUGGGUGGGGUGGGAUGGUUGCACGACACUGUAGAAGUAAUACCACAACCACACACUUAGAACUGGUUAAGCGGUAAGUUUUUUUGUUAUAUAUAACUUACCAUCAUGAGAGACUUUAUCAGAAGGCAGAGGCAGGUGGACCUCUGUGAGUUUGUGCUAGCCUGGACUACACCGCAUGAUUCAGGAUAACCUGGACGACAUAGAGAAAAUAGUGAAGAUACUUACAAUGCAAAGCAAAAGGAUUAUGCUAAGCUAGAAAACUGUUACUUCAUGGUUGUUUCUCAUGGCCCUCUAUGCUGAACUUCACCCACCCACAUUUACCUGUGAAUGGUAACCGUUUCCCAGCAUCAGCCAUUGCUUCUUCCCAGUCUUAUACCUUUGUACCAUCCUUCUCUCUUUCCUUGGCUCCUCAGUUAGGUUUCAUGGGCUUUUAAAUUUAUUUUUUUUAAAUAUAUUUACUGGUAUAGUUUCUCUGUGUAGACUGGCUAGCCUGGAACUCACUGUGCAGACCAGGUUGAUCUUGAACUCACAUUGAACCUACUGCUUCUGGCUCUUGAGUGCCAAGAUGUAGGGGUUCAAAUCCCCAGAAAGUGUGUUUAAUACUGGGUCCUCGCUUGGUGAAACUGCUUGGGAAGGAUUAAGGGGUAUUGUGUAGCUGGUCUUAGCCUCUGUGGGUCCUUCUUUCUUUCGUCCUUCUCCACCCUUCACUCCCUCACUCUAGAUAAGAGAGAAGAAAGGAUAGAGAGGAAAGAGAUCCUUGAAUCCUUAAAGUCAGGUGUCAGAAAGGGUAUGACGUUAUCGUUAGACGACUUCCUGCUGACUAGAAGCAUCGAGUUCCUUAGAGGGAGUUUGAGGUUCACAGUCAGGACACUUACUUUUUUCUUCUUGUUGUUUUUUCUUGCACAUGACCUACUAAACAAAUUGUGGCCAACAGCAACUAAUGCAACGCCAGCAGCCAACCAACAUCGAACCAUCAACCUACCGCCUCCCGGGGCCCUGGCAUUUAUCUACCCUCUGAAAAGUCCCCAGAAUUCCAAACGUCUCCCAGUCACAGAAGAUCUCUGAAGCUGGCAAAAUCACGCCCCUGCUAGAGCACGAGGCAAAGCUCGUAAGCCGGACAAUCUGAAGCAGCCCCACAUCCCACACCUGGGAUUAAAACAAAAAUACAUUCUUACAUUAUUUCUGUGCUUUUUUAAAGAAAUCAAAAUACCCAAACCAUCUUUACAGUACGGCCUUGUUCGGGGAGGUAAGUCACUGGGGAUAAGCCAUUCCCAGUUAGCUCGCUCUGUCUAGAGUUUGUGUCUUAAGAUGGGAGCUCUCAGGGUUGGGGAUUUAGCUCAGUGGUAGAGCGCUUGCCUAGGAAGCACAAGGCCCUGGGUUCAGUCCCCAGCUCCGGAAAAAAAGAACCAAAAAAAAAAAAAAAAAAAAAAAAAAGAUGGGAGCUCUCAGCUACUGCUCCAGCACCAUGCCCACCUACCUGCCGCCAUGCUCCCUGCCAUGAUGGUUAUCAGCUCUAACCCUUUGAAGGAGUAAGCCUCACAUAAAUUAUUUUAUGAGUUGCCUGUGGCAUGGUGUUCUGUCACAGCAGUAGAAAACCAACUGAGACAUACGGAUUACAAUUAUAGAUUUAUUUUAUUUUUACUUAUGUGUAUGUGUGGGGUCUCUAUGUGGAUGACUACAUGUGCCAAUAGAGGCCAGAGGCAUUAGAUUUUCCUAGAGCUAGAGUUCCAUGUGAUUGUAAAUGGCCAGGAAUUGAACCCAGGUCCUCUGGAAGAAUAGCCAGUGCUCUUAGCCAUUGAGCCAUCUCUCCAGCCCUAGGGUUGUUUAUUAAUGGCUUCAAAUUCUUUGGCUCAAGUCACCCUCCUAUCUAACUCUCCUAUCUAACUCUCCCAGUUGUUGGGAUUACAGGUGGGUGCUACCAUGCUCAGUUACAUUUCCAAAGUUGUUGUGACUAAAACUCAAUUCAGGAAGCUCCCUUAAAGAUUUUAAAUCAUCAUCAUCAACAACAACAACGACAACGACCCUAAAAGCACUGCCAGGGUUGUUGUUCGUAGAGUGGGGUCAACUGCCUUGUCUACUUCCAGUUCUCCUUGAAGGUCACCUGUUCAUUUAUUCCUUUGUUUCCUGUCCCCUUUCAACACCGCUGGCUCACCUUGUAUCUAUGCCAAGAGCCCUUGGGACAGGGAGGCAGAGAGGAAGUCUCCGAGCCACAGAGAAGCCCAGGCACAAAGCCUGGGUGGGUGUUGGCAGCUCUUGAAAAGUCUGUUUAAGGGGUUGGGGAUUUAGCUCAGUGGUAGAGCGCUUGCCUAGGAAGCAGAAGGCCCUGGGUUCGGUCCCCAGCUCUGAAAAAAAGAACCAAAAAAAAAAAAAAAAAAAAAGAAAGAAAA